Long non-coding RNA from Eptesicus fuscus (big brown bat), 543 nucleotides. RefSeq lists it as uncharacterized. The record is from RefSeq and is a predicted model, not a curated record. The transcript is spliced from 5 exons. NCBI's taxonomy places the organism in Eukaryota, Metazoa, Chordata, Mammalia, Chiroptera, Vespertilionidae.
UCUGUGUCUUCUGCUGCCACAUCCUUCUCCUGAGGUGACAUCAAGGACAAUAACCGCAGCCUUCCACAUACCCUUCAGUUUCUCUGCCAAUGACAAUAUGGAGCUUAAUGAGCCAUGGUUCUGAGGAGAUACGACAAUUUUUGUGCUUGUGUGAACAAGCCUGGGCCUGAUGAAAGACUGCAGCUCUUCUAUCUGAGGCCAUCCCAGAUCAACCUAUAGCCAGCCAACUCUCAAACACCUGAGAGAGCCCAGCCAACAUCAGCAGGGCUACCUGUCCAAGCCACAGCUGACCAUGUACGCAUGUGUGAGUCCAGCAAGACCAAAAGAACUACCCCGUUGCCCCAAAGACUGGUAUUGCACCGGUGCUGGAGAGUCAGAGAUGAGUAAAUACAGUCCCUGCACUCAAGAAGCACCUAGUCUACUCGGAGACAGAAACACAAGAGCAGGCAAUGGCUUUAUAGUUUGAUGGCGUGGUCAUACUCAGGAGGGUCAGCAUUCAGUUCCGACUCCAAGACAUCCCAGUAGGCCUGGUGGACGAUGCGC